This is a non-coding RNA of Triticum aestivum (bread wheat), 80 nucleotides long. Lineage: Eukaryota; Viridiplantae; Streptophyta; Magnoliopsida; Poales; Poaceae. The record is from Rfam.
GGUCAGAUGAUGCUACAACAACAUAUUCCUGAGAUUCUCUUUGAGGAAUACAAAAUUGAGGUUUUUAAGACUGAUGGCCA